Molecule: ribosomal RNA, 433 nt
Filed under: uncultured bacterium
Lineage: Bacteria
Description: partial 16S ribosomal RNA
Rfam family: Bacterial small subunit ribosomal RNA
Source: RNAcentral
AACGAACGCUGGCGGCAUGCCUAACACAUGCAAGUCGAACGAGACCUUCGGGUCUAGUGGCGCACGGGUGCGUAACGCGUGGGAACCUGCCCUUAGGUUCGGAAUAACUCCCCGAAAGGGGUGCUAAUACCGGAUAAUGUCUUCGGACCAAAGAUUUAUCGCCUUUGGAUGGGCCCGCGUUGGAUUAGCUAGUUGGUAGGGUAAAAGCCUACCAAGGCGACGAUCCAUAGCUGGUCUGAGAGGAGGAUCAGCCACACUGGGACUGAGACACGGCCCAGACUCCUACGGGAGGCAGCAGUGGGGAAUAUUGGACAAUGGGCGAAAGCCUGAUCCAGCAAUGCCGCAUGAGUGAUGAAGGCCUUAGGGUUGUAAAGCUCUUUUACCCGGGAUGAUAAUGACAGUACCGGGAGAAUAAGCUCCGGCUAACUCCGUG